Molecule: long non-coding RNA, 1351 nt
Organism: Lontra canadensis (Northern American river otter)
Lineage: Eukaryota; Metazoa; Chordata; Mammalia; Carnivora; Mustelidae
Exons: 2
Source: RefSeq, a predicted model, not a curated record
CCAGAAGCACUGUGGGUUCCCUCUCAAGUAAUGCAGCUGCGUAGUGUGAACACCGUGUUCCAGGCUUUCCGAUCCGCUUGUCCCCACCUCCGAAAGUCAGCUUUGCCUGCUGCCUGCCUUCACCUCUCCAAACACCACAUCUCACGCCUCGUCCCGCCCGUGUGUUGAGUCUGUUUCCUGAGAGCAAAAGGUUAAAGGGUGACUUUUUGUUUUUGAGGUCAUUAUCCCACACCUAGGAACAUCUUUUUAUUUUUAAACCCCACCCCACUUAAAGAAGAGGAAGGACCCUAGGAAUGAGUAAUAAUGAUUUUCUCAGUAUUUGUCUGGUCCUAGGGCAGGAAUGUACACUUCCACUUCGGAAGUAGAUGGAUGGGUUACUGGUGGUUGUCGCUCUCACUCAUUCAGUCCAUAAACCUAAUUUGUUUUAUUUAUGAUGGGAGAAGGGGAAUAUAUGAAUUCAUUUUACUAAGCAGUUCUUGAGUUUUUGUAGUGCGCUAUUAUGACAGAUACAUUCUUGGUUUGAGCAAAGAUGAGGAAGUACAGAAUCCCUGAGAUUAUGAAGCACUUUUCAGCAGAUAUAAUCUGUUGUGGGAUAUAUAUUUGUUGUAGGAUAUUUAAAUGUUCUCCAAAUGUCUUCAGUACUUCUUGUGAAUAGUAACUGGUUUUAAUUACAGGCUGGAUUUCUCUUUCCCCUUUUGAGAAAUAAUAGUCCUCCCUCCUCCCCUGUUCCCCUUUUGGGAAAAGUCAGUAAUCUGGGUAAUUUCUAUUAAAAAACCUCUAUUAAAACCAAGGAGUGAUUGUAGUCCACUUAAUGAAGCAAAGCACAAAAGAUGAUGAGGACAGGAGCGGUAGAGAGUUAGUUCACUCAUGAAGCCACUUACUUUUAAAGGUAAGGAAAAAUAAAGAAGCCCCCUUCUCUUUCUUCCAACCUGGUUGUUAUCUGGAAUUUUCAGUUAAGUAAAAUGGUUAACCACUUACAUGUGCUUCAAACUAAACACAAAACCCCAAAGACUAUUUAAUUAUCACACUUUUGUUAAUAAGAUUAUGGGACUUGCAUAGGAAAGAUACUGUGCAAAAUAGAAUCCUUUCCUGUGUUAGUGAGAAUAUUGGUUUGUGUUCUUUUUAAUUAUUGGGUCUAAUAUUUCUGCUUUUUAGUCAACGAAGGGUGAAAGCAAGAAAAUGACCAUUACUUCAUCUUGCUGGAAAGGUCUUGCCUAAUCCAAAUUGUUUGUUACAUCGUGUAGGGCUUUGUUCUUAAAACCUCUUAAAAAGAUGGAUGUAAUAUCUUCUUUCUCAAGAUAGUUUCGAUAAAAUCUCAGCAGUUUACUAAAAUUUUAUGAGACGUCUUUAG